Molecule: long non-coding RNA, 210 nt
Filed under: Elaeis guineensis (African oil palm)
Lineage: Eukaryota; Viridiplantae; Streptophyta; Magnoliopsida; Arecales; Arecaceae
Description: long non-coding RNA (EGUI_LNC043749)
Source: RNAcentral
GUGUGCGGCCCAAGCCCACACGUGCACACCCAUCGUGGUGUAAAAUCAUGGACCGCAUGACUUUGAGUCACGGUCCAUGAUAGAACAUUGGUCCAUGCAAAUUUCUAUGGAUUGGGUGCGAUCAGAUGGCUAAGAUUCGAUCUAGAGUGUGAUCAGAUGGUGUAGAUAGCUUGCAGGCUGAUCUGGAUUUGAUGCAACUUAAUCAAGCGC